RNAcentral lists this ribosomal RNA (712 nucleotides) under Mesomycoplasma hyorhinis. RNAcentral describes it as "bacterial SSU rRNA". It matches the Rfam family "Bacterial small subunit ribosomal RNA", at positions 137 to 835 of the family's 1533-position model. Lineage: Bacteria; Bacillati; Mycoplasmatota; Mycoplasmoidales; Metamycoplasmataceae. The record is from RNAcentral.
ACUGGGAUAACUAUUGGAAACAAUAGCUAAUACCGGAUAUAGUUAUUUAUCGCAUGAUGAGUAAUAGAAAGGAGCUUCACAGCUUCACUUAAAAAUGGGGGUGCGGAACAUUAGUUAGUUGGUAGGGUAAUGGCCUACCAAGACGAUGAUGUUUAGCCGGGCCGAGAGGCUGUACGGCCACACUGGGACUGAGAUACGGCCCAGACUCCUACGGGAGGCAGCAGUAAGGAAUUUUCCACAAUGAGCGAAAGCUUGAUGGAGCGACACAGCGUGCAGGAUGAAGUUCUUCGGAAUGUAAACUGCUGUUAUAAGGGAAGAAAAAAUAGAAUAGGAAAUGAUUUUAUCUUGACGGUACCUUAUUAGAAAGCGACGGCAAACUAUGUGCCAGCAGCCGCGGUAAUACAUAGGUCGCAAGCGUUAUCCGGAAUUAUUGGGCGUAAAGCGUCCGUAGGUUUUUUGCUAAGUCUGGAGUUAAAUGCUGAAGCUCAACUUCAGUCCGCUUUGGAUACUGGCAAAAUAGAAUUAUAAAGAGGUUAGCGGAAUUCCUAGUGAAGCGGUGGAAUGCGUAGAUAUUAGGAAGAACACCAAUAGGCGAAGGCAGCUAACUGGUUAUAUAUUGACACUAAGGGACGAAAGCGUGGGGAGCAAACAGGAUUAGAUACCCUGGUAGUCCACGCCGUAAACGAUGAUCAUUAGUUGGUGGAAUAAUUUC